This 253-nucleotide ribosomal RNA is filed under the name uncultured bacterium. RNAcentral's name for it is "partial 16S ribosomal RNA". It matches the Rfam family "Bacterial small subunit ribosomal RNA", at positions 524 to 776 of the family's 1533-position model. The record is from RNAcentral.
UACGUAGGGUGCGAGCGUUGUCCGGAAUUAUUGGGCGUAAAGGGCUCGUAGGCGGUUUGUCGCGUCGGGAGUGAAAACCAGGUGCUUAACACCUGGCUUGCUUUCGAUACGGGCAGACUAGAGGUAUUCAGGGGAGAACGGAAUUCCUGGUGUAGCGGUGAAAUGCGCAGAUAUCAGGAAGAACACCCGUGGCGAAGGCGGCUCUCUGGAACGCAACUGACGCUGAGACGCGAAAGCGUGGGGAGCAAACAGG